CCUGGUAGUCCACGCCCUAAACGAUGUCAACUAGUUGUUGGGGAUUCAUUUCCUUAGUAACGUAGCUAACGCGUGAAGUUGACCGCCUGGGGAGUACGGUCGCAAGAUUAAAACUCAAAGGAAUUGACGGGGACCCGCACAAGCGGUGGAUGAUGUGGAUUAAUUCGAUGCAACGCGAAAAACCUUACCUACCCUUGACAUGGUCGGAAUCCYGCUGAGAGGUGGGAGUGCUCGAAAGAGAACCGGCGCACAGGUGCUGCAUGGCUGUCGUCAGCUCGUGUCGUGAGAUGUUGGGUUAAGUCCCGCAACGAGCGCAACCCUUGUCCUUAGUUGCUACGCAAGAGCACUCUAAGGAGACUGCCGGUGACAAACCGGAGGAAGGUGGGGAUGACGUCAAGUCCUCAUGGCCCUUAUGGGUAGGGCUUCACACGUCAUACAAUGGUCGGAACAGAGGGUUGCCAACCCGCGAGGGGGAGCUAAUCCCAGAAAACCGAUCGUAGUCCGGAUUGCACUCUGCAACUCGAGUGCAUGAAGCUGGAAUCGCUAGUAAUCGCGGAUCAGCAUGCCGC
This 569-nucleotide ribosomal RNA is filed under the name Burkholderia cenocepacia. Its description in RNAcentral is "bacterial SSU rRNA". It matches the Rfam family "Bacterial small subunit ribosomal RNA", at positions 786 to 1360 of the family's 1533-position model. The record is from RNAcentral. Lineage: Bacteria; Pseudomonadati; Pseudomonadota; Betaproteobacteria; Burkholderiales; Burkholderiaceae.